AAAGCUUCGUUAGAUCCCCUCCGUUAUCCCUUUCUCUCUCUCUCUCUCUCUCUCUCUCUCUCUCUCUCUCUCUUUCUCUCUCUCUUCUUUUCUUUUUUCUUUUCCUUUCUUCUCCACAGACCUCACCUCCCACCAAACCUUCCCUCCUCCACAGCACGCCCACCUCCCACCUCGCCCACUCGCCCCCUCGCCGCAGUUUUCGCCCGCCCGCUUGCUCUCUCACUUUCUCUCUUUCUUCUUUUCUUUUUAUUUUUCCUUUCUUCUCCACAGAGCUUACUACCAAACCCUCCCUCCUCCAUACCCCGCCCACCUCCCAUCUCGCCCACCUCGCCCACUCGCCCCCUCGCCUGCUCGCUCGCUUGCUGGCUCGCUUGCCCCCUCGCCUACUUCUAAGGUUUGAUUCUUUCUUUUUAUUUUUUUUAGUUGUUUGGUGAAUAAAUUAUAGGAAAAAAAUAUUAUUUGGUGAAAUAAAUUACAGAAAAAAAAAUGUUGUUCUGUUUUUAAAAAAUCUAAAAAAAAAAAUCUGAUUUUAUUAUACAAACUCUGAAUAUAUUAUAAAAUCUGAUUUUAUUAUACAAAAUCUGAUUUUAUUAUUCUAGCAUCUAUUUUAUUAAUCUCU
This 619-nucleotide long non-coding RNA is filed under the name Ananas comosus (pineapple). RNAcentral's name for it is "long non-coding RNA (ACOM_LNC013365)". The record is from RNAcentral. Lineage: Eukaryota; Viridiplantae; Streptophyta; Magnoliopsida; Poales; Bromeliaceae.